This 253-nucleotide ribosomal RNA is filed under the name uncultured bacterium. RNAcentral describes it as "partial 16S ribosomal RNA". It matches the Rfam family "Bacterial small subunit ribosomal RNA", at positions 524 to 776 of the family's 1533-position model. The record is from RNAcentral.
GACGUAGGGCGCGAGCGUUGUCCGGAUUUAUUGGGCGUAAAGAGCUCGUAGGCGGCUUGUCGCGUCGGCUGUGAAAACCCGCGGCUCAACUGUGGGCGGGCAGCUGAUACGGGCAGGCUGGAGUUCGGUAGGGGAGACUGGAAUUCCUGGUGUAGCGGUGAAAUGCGCAGAUAUCAGGAGGAACACCGGUGGCGAAGGCGGGUCUCUGGACAGUUCCUGACGCUGAGGCACGAAGGCCAGGGGAGCAAACGGG